This 452-nucleotide ribosomal RNA is filed under the name uncultured bacterium. Its description in RNAcentral is "bacterial SSU rRNA". It matches the Rfam family "Bacterial small subunit ribosomal RNA", at positions 8 to 507 of the family's 1533-position model. The record is from RNAcentral.
AGAGUUUGAUCAUGGCUCAGAACGAACGCUGGCGGCAUGCCUAACACAUGCAAGUCGAACGAGACCUUCGGGUCUAGUGGCGCACGGGUGCGUAACGCGUGGGAACCUGCCUUUAGGUUCGGAAUAACUCAGAGAAAUUUGAGCUAAUACCGGAUAAUGUCUUCGGACCAAAGAUUUAUCGCCUUUAGAUGGGCCCGCGUAAGAUUAGCUAGUUGGUGGGGUAAAGGCCUACCAAGGCGACGAUCUUUAGCUGGUCUGAGAGGAUGAUCAGCCACACUGGGACUGAGACACGGCCCAGACUCCUACGGGAGGCAGCAGUGGGGAAUAUUGGACAAUGGGCGAAAGCCUGAUCCAGCAAUGCCGCGUGAGUGAUGAAGGCCUUAGGGUUGUAAAGCUCUUUACCCGAGAUGAUAAUGACAGUAUCGGGAGAAUAAGCUCCGGCUAACUCCGUG